RNAcentral lists this microRNA (20 nucleotides) under Homo sapiens (human). RNAcentral's name for it is "hsa-miR-3187-3p". The record is from miRBase by way of RNAcentral. Lineage: Eukaryota; Metazoa; Chordata; Mammalia; Primates; Hominidae.
UUGGCCAUGGGGCUGCGCGG